This 253-nucleotide ribosomal RNA is filed under the name uncultured bacterium. Its description in RNAcentral is "partial 16S ribosomal RNA". It matches the Rfam family "Bacterial small subunit ribosomal RNA", at positions 524 to 776 of the family's 1533-position model. The record is from RNAcentral.
UACGGAGGGGGCAAGCGUUAUUCGGAAUUAUUGGGCGUAAAGGGCGUGUAGGCGGCUUCGUUUGUCCCAUGUGAAAGCCCUCGGCUUAACUGAGGAACUGCAUGAGAAACUACGAAGCUUGAGUCCGGGAGAGGAAAGCGGAAUUCCCAGUGUAGCGGUGAAAUGCGUAGAUAUUGGGAGGAACACCAGUGGCGAAGGCGGCUUUCUGGACCGGUACUGACGCUGAGACGCGAAAGCCAGGGGAGCAAACGGG